AGGGCACCACCAGGAGUGGAGCCUGCGGCUUAAUUUGACUCAACACGGGGAAACUCACCCGGCCCGGACACCGCAAGGAUUGACAGAUUGAUAGCUUUUUCAUGAUUCGGUGGAUGGUGGUGCAUGGCCGUUCUUAGUUCGUGGAGCGAUUUGUCUGGUUUAUUCCGAUAACGAGCGAGACUCUAGCCUACUAAAUAGUUCGCACAUUGUCUCUGUGUGUGUGACUUCUUAGAGGGAUUUUCGGUGUUCAGCCGCACGAAAUUGAGCAAUAACAGGUCUGUGAUGCCCUUAGAUGUCCGGGGCUGCACGCGCGCUACACUGGCAAAAUCAGCGUGCUUGUCCUUCCCCGAAAGGGGUUGGUAAACCCUUGAAAAUUUGCCGUGAUUGGGAUUGGAAAUUGCAAUUAUUUUCCAUGAACGAGGAAUUCCAAGUAAGUGCGAGUCAUCAGCCCGCGUUGAUUACGUCCCUGCCCUUUGUGCACACCGCCCGUCGCCGCCCGGGACUGAGCCAUUUCGAGAA
RNAcentral lists this ribosomal RNA (519 nucleotides) under uncultured eukaryote. RNAcentral's name for it is "SSU rRNA". It matches the Rfam family "Eukaryotic small subunit ribosomal RNA", at positions 1161 to 1705 of the family's 1831-position model. The record is from RNAcentral.